CGUAUCGCUGGUAUGGCCGUGCGUCACGGCUUCGUCGCGCUGGGUUGGUGGGCUUGCUCGUAGCAUUUGUGUUUUGUAGGUUCGUGCCGUCGAUGCGCUUUUUAAUUAAACUAAACGCGAAGCCAGAAGAAAAUUGCGCGACCCCAUGGAGCGCGCAUCGGAGGCGCUCAGCGUCGACGACGUCUACAGCCUCGCAGAGGAGAUCGGCAAGGAGUUCGAAAUCCUCAUUGACAGCUACGGCGUCGAGUCUGUGAACAAGUUGGUCACCAAGGUGAUUCGCGUGUUGGAGUACCUCGAAGCGUACGCCACCAAGAAUGACAUCGCCAGCGACGAGAUCGCCCAGCUCAGGGCGCAGAUCUACCAGCUCGAGCACGACAAGUACGAGAAGGCUGAGUCCAGGAGCAAACUUGAAAAGGAGAUGGAACAGUACGAAGACACCUGGCGACAAGAGAUGAAAGAUCUGGGUGGUCUUGUGGCUCGCCUACAGGAGGAAAACUCCAAACUGAGCAGCUCGCUCAAAGAGAAGGAGAGCCACCGUUCCUUGCAGUGCGAGCCACAUUGUGUGACUAUUGGUGAGGACAUUGUUGUCCUUGAACGGCUUCGGGACGCCUUCGACAAACAGGCAGCCCAGCUGAACCAGUGUGAAAAGGACAAGGCGAAGCAAGCUGCCGACAUAGAAUCUCUUCAGCAGCAGCUGGAAGCCAGUAAGAAGGCCACUCAGGAGCAGAGCCGACGCAACCGGCGGCUGCAGCAGCAGAUGCGGCAGCUGUGCGACGAGCGUGGCGACCUGCAGGUGCAGUUGCAGGACCAACAGAGCCAGCUGCAGAUCUUGCAGGAGCGGCUAGGCCUUGCUGUCAAAGACCACGACGACCUUCUCCAGUCCAGGGAUGCUGUCCUGGAUAUGCAAGGAAAAGUGGUGAUUGACCUGGACGACCCGAAUCGACCCCGCUUCACGCUGGAGGAGCUCAAGCACAUCCUUUUUGAAAGGAAUGAGCUCAAGGCUCGAGUUAGUGAUCUUGAAGACGAGCUGGCUCUGUACAGGCCAAGGUGGUGGGCUCAUGAGGCAACCUCGCUUCUGACCAGGCCGGUUGACCCACCAUCUCCGGUCAAGGACGAAGACCGGCCCGUCCAAGGACCCAUCAACCAGGAGCCUGAGGAGAAGCUUUUUUCCUACGGAAAGGCCUCCGGCAUUCGCAAAUUGUUCCGGGUCAUUUAUAAGGUUAGAGGAUGAGUUUGCUGCCAUAUCUUGGACCUUGAAGGAAGGCAGCUCGCAGCAGCCGUCCCUCUAUCACUGUUUUCCAAGUGCUCUGUGGCCCCGCGUCAAGCCGGGAUGAGGGGCCUCGUCUGCUGCCUCCUGCGAGGCCUGCUCUCUCACGGCAGCCUGUCGUCGGAGUUCUUUGUCGACGUCGCACCGCUCUUCGAACUACACGUGGCCCUGUUUUCAGAAGCCGGACUGUUACCGUGAAGCCGUGCUUUCGUUGCUGGCGAGAAUGGAGAGUGACGCACUCGCCCCCUCGGGGAUGUGCAUCAUUGCCACUGGCACUGGGUGUGUGUGUGUGUGUUUGUGUGAGUGCGCAUUAUCUUGCGAACGUGCCAAGCUGGGAAAGCAGCAGGUUACAGUGGUGACAGCGAGUUCUGAAAUCGAAUUAAAACGUCACUGGCGAUCUGUAGGGCAGCACUAAAUGUGGCUUCACCGUGUCAGUGCACUCUCGUCUGAAAAACUGCAGCCAAAGUUUAAAAGCAGCAACCACGUGGAACAUCCCUCAAUCGUAGUUUCAUUGCCAUGUUGCCACGUCUGUCUUGUAACGCAUUAUGUCACCCGCUGUAAUCGUGGCUGAGGUGUAUUCAGUGUGGUUGCUGCGAUAAGUUAUGUUAAAGCGGAGCAUCACUAUGCCGCGAUUGCAGUGUGGGCACUGUGUUUUAUGGAAUAGACAUGGCAACGUAAUGGCUGAAAAUGCAAAUGAAGUAUGUUUCACUCAUUUUGUGUUUAUCUGUGCGCACAUUUGAGUACACUUCAAUAAUUUUUCAGUAGGCACCAAAACAUUGUACAAUCACACAUGUGCACGGAGUUCAUGCACCUGGCUUUGGCUGCAGUUUUAUGAGAGGCUGAAUGCAGAGUUCACAAUUUAUGUUGUAUAGUUUUUUUUUUUUCCUGUAGCUUUUGAGACGUCACGUUAAUUAUGUUCUUUGUGUAGAUUUGUUUUAUUUAUUCAGUGUAUUUUAAUAGUUCAGCUAUUUUUACUGUUUAUGCAUUUUAUUUGAAACCUUUCUGGUAAAGUGUUUUAUUCUUUACUUACAUUGUACCCUGCCUCUUAAUUAACAAAAAACUUUAAGACACUCCAAAAAUGACCCUAUCUAUAGAGCAGGGCAUGUUAAAAUAGGUCUAAUCCACUAUCACUACUUACAAGUACAAUUCUUAAAGGGACACUAAAGAGAAACAAUGAAUUGGUUUAGAUUGAUAAAGUGUGCUCGGAGAACUCUUGUGUAGUUUAUUUCACCACCAUACGUUUAUUAUUAGAGGAGAACACCAAGUUCAAAGUUUCAUUUUUAAAUUUCGUGCCAAACUUUGUAAUUCGUGACGUAAAAGAUUUCAAAGAGCAUUUAACGUAUUUUGGCACCACUGGCUCGACGAAAUUUCCACAAACUCGUUAUGUCAAGUCCCUGGCCCCCUCAGAGGACAAUGUACUUCGAUUUAACCGAUUAGGAACUACGUAGGCCCAAGCAGGCGCUGUCAAAAAUAUGUGACGUCACGGCAAAUGGUGCGGGAAUUCCAAGGUGGCUUCGCCACCUGUAUUUUCUUUUUGCACGUUUUAUCGCUUAUUAAGCGUCUUCUCGCAGCAAGCGUGGUGUUUUUGGUAUCGUGGAAGACUACUUUAGUAAUGCGAGAAAAAUCGUUUUGCUCUUUAGUGUCCCUUUAACUAUUGUGAGUAGAUCAUUUCAUAUUUGUCCAAUAGAAAAGUAGGUGUCACACUGUGUUUUAUGAGAUGUACAUGUGGCAGCGAAAUUUCAAUUUGUUGUUGGUUUCUGUUGAGAAGAAAACAUUUUAUGUGGUGCAGUGUUAAAUACCUUCGAAGCUACCGACAGUAGUCUACUUAGAAAUAUGUGCACUUAUUGUUAAUGGAAAGGAUGGCACUACUUUAGGACAUGCUGCUUUAAGAAUGCAGUUCAGUUCAUAGUAAUCAAAAUGUCCUUUCGGGCAUAAUGUGUGUGUUGGAAAAGGUUCAGAAGGUUGCCAUGACAAUAACAUUGUAUGCUAACGUAGUACUAAUAGUGAUGUGUUUGUGUAGGAAUAGGUAUGAAAUCUAUUCAUCUGUCCUUUAAAUGCAUUCACUUCAUACGAGACAUUUUAAUGCUGCUGUGCAUAAGUGAAUAUCGCAAAUUAACAUUAUGCGAGAUUGAGUAUGUUUGAGGUUUAGGAGCACAAACAGGUUCAUUUUAGAUGUUGAAGUUGAACCAGCCAGCCAUAGUGGGUUUAACCUUUUUGGUACUAAGUGGCAAGCUGAGCAGUUCUGUAGUAAGUUCCUGUAUAUUUCUGUAAUUAUCUACAGCCCAAGGUUGUUUUAUGGGCUGUAGAUGUUUACAAUAUUUUUUUUCUUUUUGACUUGUUGCUUGACGCCUGACACAUUCUUUCUUAAGCGGUGCCAUGCAAGGAUAUUUUAAUGUUCCCUUUUUUUUUCUCUUUUACUUAAAAGUGAGGAACAUGCCGUUUCUCAGAAAGCUAAAUUCUUAAACCCAACUUCAAAUUGGAGUUAGAUUUCUUCAUUGAUGUCUGAAAUAUCUCCGACAACUUUUUUUCAGUGACCUUUAUUUACUGGCAGUGGGCCCUGCAUCCAGUCUAAUGUUUACUUUGUUUGGUUUUGCUAAGCAGUGCACUCAUUUUUGCCUAUGACAUAGACCUAUUCAGCAUCUGAAGUAAAACUGUGUGCCGCUCUGUUCAAGGACCAAUUGUAGCAGUUGUUCACUUGUUGUACCGAGAUGCGAGACGCUUCUUGUAUGGCUAAAAUUGAGCGAAAAGCAACUGCCUCAGGCACCAUGACAGAAUCUACACAAGCAGUAAAUGGUGGCUGAAAUUACUUAUCCGUGGCUUCAACAGCCGUUAAGUACAGAAUGCGUUUGCUGAAGGUGUGUCGUUUGUUACCAGGAUUGUUCAAUAAGGUUUCUUCGUCAGAAACACUAGGAUUGCUAAAAGCAGGGUUUUUGUAGAGCAGUAGCCUGGUGACAUGCAUGCCCACAUUGUGAACAUGUACUGUGAGUACGACUGUCAACACUGUUUUAUGGCUUUGUCUAUGUGUUUCUUACCUAAUGCCAAAUGAAAGCUUGACAAGGGAGUACACUUGCAUGUGGUGGUGUGUAAUGACUUGAAACCAGAUGAGCUUUCACCAGUCUUCCCUUGCCUCUGACAAGCAAGCACAAUUGUUAACCGAAUCCCAUGUUGCUUAUGACUGUGGGUCAUUUAGCAGCACAUUCAUAUCACACUUGGUUGGGAACACUGUAAACCUUACUUUUUGCAAGGAGUUAACCUUCACGAGUUUUGACUGUUGCCUACAGCCUUUAAACCCCCAUCCCUUCGUGUUAACUUUGCAAUGCAACUGAUGUGGCAUUCUGUAUUCUACCAGUUCCACUUAGAUUGAACUCGGCAUGUGAAACUUGAGUUCAGAUGAAUGGUGUUUUGUUUUCAUGAACUUGGAAACAUGUUACAUUCAUAUGGCGAUUUGUACUACCAGAUUUCGAUUCACUUAUUCUCUAGCCUGUCUAAUGAACUGGAGUGCUACAGCUACAAGUAUUUGCUACAGCCACUGCUUGGCAUUCACUACUACACUACCUACCAUAAUCAUGAGUGCCGUGUCUUAACAGCUGUCACACCCAAAUGGCCAUAUGCUGCUGCUGAAAUAUACUGCACACUGACAGCUUGAAACAAGUGUCACAGAAAUUGUCUAGAAGCACAAUGUGCCCUUUAUAUGUUAUAGCGCACAGAUAUUGUCCAUUGACAAAACUUUAAAACGAAUACUGUGUGCAACACCUUGUAUAUAACCCCACUUUUCCUCUUUUUUCCGUCGAAGAGACAUCAGUAUGCGCAAACUUGAGCACAUUCCAUGUGUAACAGAGAGCUGCUGUUGGAGCUACGACUUGUCUUGCUGUGAUGAUGUCACCAAAGAAAUAUGUUCGCACCACUGUUGAAAUGUGUGCUACACGUUUUAAAGGCCCUCGGCUUAAUGUUAACCGUGCAAUGCUUCAGCUUCACGCGUGCUGUGAUGGCGGGUAGUGAGCCUAGUCUUUGAGAAUGCAUUGUGUAUGGACUCGAUGUGCCUCGCACAUUGCGGUGUUCUUUGUAGCUAGGCACAAAGAACAUUACAGCUAGCAGCAUGAAAGGUCUACCCCAGGGCAAGGCUUACCCAGUAUGUGCUGGUAUACCCUAGCAAUGCAACACAGCUGGGCACAGGGGGACACUUUGUGUUUGCAAGCUUGUAUUUUUGUGCACAUCAUGUAUGACUAAUGGUGCAUAGUUACGUCCAGUAGAUAGCGCCUUAGUUGAGAGAGUUUGCAGUAAUUUGCUGGUAUCGCAUCUCGAGACAACUGUCACGUGCCAAUGUGUCUGGGAGAUCGUAGCUACUAUGGACCCCGAGACACCGCAGUGCCAGGAAUGUUUUUCACUUAGCACACUAGUUAACAUGUAGAGGCACAUUUAUAUUUGCAACAUUUUUUUACCUUUCUAUUUGUGAGCUCCCAUUUCGGGCACUUCACCACUUUUGACAACUUACCGCAGGUGCGCCCUCAUGUGCACGUCUUUUAGCUGAUGUAGUAGACUUUUGCUAAACUUCAGCACUAGUUGCAGCUGGAUCAGUUAACAUGCGGUUUAGAUCAUCCUACUUAAGCAACACCACCCUAUUUGACUUGCAGAGGACUUCGUAGAAAAUCUGGCUUUUUGCAAAGUCUCAAACAAACAAGAUUUCAUGUAUUAGCAUAUGGCUCAGUGCUUUUAAUAAAAAAAUUUUUCACAC
RNA transcript from Rhipicephalus sanguineus (brown dog tick), 5999 nucleotides. It is a transcript of the gene named RILP-like protein homolog, with no coding region annotated. NCBI's taxonomy places the organism in Eukaryota, Metazoa, Arthropoda, Arachnida, Ixodida, Ixodidae. The transcript is spliced from 8 exons. The record is from RefSeq and is a predicted model, not a curated record.